Molecule: unclassified non-coding RNA, 1507 nt
Filed under: Drosophila ananassae
Lineage: Eukaryota; Metazoa; Arthropoda; Insecta; Diptera; Drosophilidae
Description: GF22761
Source: RNAcentral
ACCAUACCAUUUCAUAAAUAUAUUGAUAGCUUAUCUUUAGGGUUUUCAGCAAAAAGAGGUUCUUUGGCCGCUGAGUAAUUGUUACAGAAAACCAAAACAAAUUUCAAUCAAAUGGAGAAACGGAAUACAUCCGCUAUGCAGGUGCUCUAUGCAGAGCUGUCAGCCGCGAAAGCCCGAAGCGCCCAGCUGGAGGAGGAAAACAUUCUGCUGCGCCAUCGCCUCAAUCGAGCCUCUUCCGACCACAGCACAAAUGCGGCCAUAAAUGUGGAGGCCAAAAUCCUGGCCUUCCAAUUGGAAGAGGAACGCGAUCGCCUGGUGGAAACAGUCCAGAAGCACAAGAAGAAAUACAACAAGUUGCACGACGCCUACUUGGAGAAGGUGAAGCGUUGUCGGGCUCUGGAGGAGAUGUUCAAGCGCCAGAAGACGCUCACGGGGCUGGUGAUGAAAUCUGCCUUGGAUCAGCGAAAUGAAGAACAACGUUUGAUGAUUGAGAAGCGACAGUCGGCGCAAAGUGAAUUGAAUGAGGUGGAACAGCUGAAGGCCAAGGUGGAGAAGCUGCAAAGAGCUCUAGAUGAAUCCUAUGAUAUAAUAGACGAAAUGGAUUUCGAAUUGGAGAGCGUGGAUCUGCUGGAGAUGCAAAAUCAGAGCCUCCGUGAAGAGUUGGCUGCCUUGAAGUUGGAAACCGAAGCCUCUGGAGUUUCUUCGGAAAUCGUAGAGGAUGCCCCCCCGAAAUACGAGGAACACGACUCUACUGAGUAUCGAAAGCGACUGAGCUCUUCGAGCAGUGAGUCCAUUCCAAAAGAAGAUGAUUCCGAUGCCCAGACCAUCGAGAGAUUGGCUCUAACUAAUAGUCUCAUUGAAACUGUGGAAACUGAAAGCAACGCCCUCAGAAGAGAACUACUGAGAUCCCGCUGCCAAAGAACCAUACGCGCCAAGCUGGAAGCGGAAGAUCAGGAUCAGGACUAGUUUAGUAAAGAUAAUGCCUCUAUAGUAUAAGCUGAUGAAACCUUUCGUUAAACUUACGCACUGCGGGGACCGCCAAACCCACAACCGUCGAAUCAUAGAACUGCUUAGUGCGUCUGGCUAGUUGGUCGCUGGAACUAACCUAGUUUCGGAGCCAGCUACGCCUAACAAGUGCACAUACCAGAGAUUGCUUUUAAGAAGGAAACACGUAAUUAAUUAUAAUAUUUUGUUAAUGGCAUCAGGAUUUGGCCUCUGCUGAUCUAUGAAGGUUUCAACCCCUCCGCCUCCUCUACCAGCCUGGUAUUAAUUUUCCAAUCGACACUCCACCGAUCCAUUAAAAAUGACAAUUAUUUUUAUGACUUAAUGCAGCCCGAAGAACUAGUUGCCCAAUGUCUAAUGUUGCAAAUUAUUGACUAAGUAAAUUAAUCUGCACAUUUGUUGGCGGGACUAGACCAACUAGCGCGACACCUCACCCACUUGGCCGGGGGCUUAUUAGUUUGCGUGCCAAUUAAAUGCCUACACUGAUAAAAAUAUUAUAUGGGAU